AGGAUAAACGCUGGCGGCGUGCCUAACACAUGCAAGUCGAACGCGCUUUCGGGCUUCGGUGCGAGAGCGAGUGGCGGACGGGUGAGUAACACAUGGGUACCUACCUUGGAGUGAGGGAUACCGGCGAGAAUCGCCGACAAUACCGCAUAGGCUUCUUCACAAGGGAAGCAAAGUGACGCGAGUCACGCUUUGAGAUGGGCCUGUGGCCGAUUAGCUAGUUGGGGGGGUAACGGCUUCCCAAGGCGACGAUCGGUAGCUGGUCUGAGAGGACGAUCAGCCACACUGGGAUUGAGAACGGCCCAGACUCCUACGGGGGGCAGCAGUGAGGAAUUUUCCGCAAUGGAGGCAACUCUGACGGAGCAACGCCGCGUGCAGGAGGAAGGUUUUCGGAUCGUAAACUGCUUUUCUCGGGGACGAGCAAGGACGGUACCCGAGGAAGAAGCCCGGCUAACUACGUGCCAGCAGCCGC
Molecule: ribosomal RNA, 469 nt
Filed under: uncultured bacterium
Lineage: Bacteria
Description: SSU rRNA
Rfam family: Bacterial small subunit ribosomal RNA
Source: RNAcentral